UACGGGGGGAGCAAGCGUUGUUCGGAUUUACUGGGCGUAAAGGGCGCGUAGGCGGCCACCGCAAGUCGACUGUGAAAUCUCCGGGCUUAACUCGGAAAGGUCAGCCGAUACUGCGGGGCUAGAGUGCAGAAGGGGCAACUGGAAUUCCUGGUGUAGCGGUGAAAUGCGCAGAUAUCAGGAGGAACAUCCGUGGCGAAGGCGGCUCUCUGGGACGGUACUGACGCUGAGACGCGAAAGCGUGGGGAGCGAACAGG
This 254-nucleotide ribosomal RNA is filed under the name uncultured bacterium. RNAcentral's name for it is "partial 16S ribosomal RNA". It matches the Rfam family "Bacterial small subunit ribosomal RNA", at positions 524 to 776 of the family's 1533-position model. The record is from RNAcentral.